Molecule: small nucleolar RNA, 84 nt
Filed under: Xenopus laevis (African clawed frog)
Lineage: Eukaryota; Metazoa; Chordata; Amphibia; Anura; Pipidae
Description: Small nucleolar RNA SNORD60
Rfam family: Small nucleolar RNA SNORD60
About the family: U60 belongs to the C/D class of snoRNA which contain the C (UGAUGA) and D (CUGA) box motifs. Most of the members of the box C/D family function in directing site-specific 2'-O-methylation of substrate RNAs.
Source: Rfam by way of RNAcentral
UGCCAGUGAUGUACCCUAAAUUCUGACACCUCAUAUGAAACUGUCAAAAACAGCUUCUUGAUUUUGUCCUUUGGGCUGAGGCAA